AAGUAUAUCCUGAAGGCAAGGAGGGAGUAUCCUGAAGGAAGAAGAUGAACUUUAGAAACUUCUAUCUCUGUUCUUCUAAAGCUCCAUAACAAUGAGGGCCACAAAGAGAUAGAGGAAGAAAGAGACUUCAGAUUUAUUGCAGAGCAGGGAGAAAUGCAAGUCAACAUCACAAAUAUACAAGCAACAGAGACAAGAUGAAGGCAGUGGAUUAACAGAAUUGAGCACCUGCAAUCUGAAAAUUAAGCCUGUGAAGAUCGUCAUGUUGGACCCUUUGAAAUGGGAGAGAGCCCCAAAUUUUUAAUCCCAUUUGAAAAUCUUGGCUGUAGUAAUCAGUACCAUGUUUAAAAUGCAUGCUGUUAUUUUAUCUUGUUAUUGUAGUGUUUCUUGAUUCCUUUGUUUCUAACGAACAGUCAUGGAUCAAGCUAGAUCUUGGAAACAGUAAAAGGGAUUUUAAACUCUCAGAUACCUGCAGGGAUUGGGUGAUCUGAAAAAUGUGAAUCUGAGUUUUAUUUAUUUAUUUAUUUAUUUUCAUUC
Molecule: long non-coding RNA, 534 nt
Organism: Eublepharis macularius
Lineage: Eukaryota; Metazoa; Chordata; Lepidosauria; Squamata; Eublepharidae
Exons: 3
Source: RefSeq, a predicted model, not a curated record